GUCGGGAAUUUUGCGCAAUGGACGAAAGUCUGACGCAGCAACGCCGCGUGAGGGAUGAAGGCCUUCGGGUUGUAAACCUCUUUUAUCAGGGAAGAUAAUGACGGUACCUGAUGAAUAAGUCACGGCUAACUACGUGCCAGCAGCCGCGGUAAUACGUAGGUGACAAGCGUUGUCCGGAUUUACUGGGCGUAAAGAGCGCGCAGGCGGUCGAUCAAGUCGAGUGUGAAAGCCCCCGGCUCAACUGGGGAGGGUCAUUCGAUACUGAUCGACUCGAAGGCAGGAGAGGGUAGUGGAAUUCCCGGUGUAGUGGUGAAAUGCGUAGAUAUCGGGAGGAACACCAGUGGCGAAGGCGACUACCUGGCCUGUUCUUGACGCUGAGGCGCGAAAGCUAGGGGAGCAAACGGGAUUAGAAACCCGAGUAGUCC
RNAcentral lists this ribosomal RNA (425 nucleotides) under uncultured bacterium. RNAcentral describes it as "bacterial SSU rRNA". It matches the Rfam family "Bacterial small subunit ribosomal RNA", at positions 354 to 796 of the family's 1533-position model. The record is from RNAcentral.